CCUACGGGUGGCUGCAGUCGAGAAUCUUCCGCAAUGGGCGCAAGCCUGACGGAGCGACGCCGCGUGCGGGAUGAAGGCCUUCGGGUUGUAAACCGCUGUCAGAGGGGAUGAAAGCCGCAAGGCUUGACAGAGCCUCAGAGGAAGCACGGGCUAAGUUCGUGCCAGCAGCCGCGGUAAGACGAACUGUGCGAACGUUAUUCGGAAUCACUGGGCUUACAGGGUGCGUAGGCGGCCUGUUAAGUAGGGUGUGAAAUCCCCCGGCCCAACCGGGGAAUGGCGCUCUAAACUGGCAGGCUUGAGUGAGCUAGGGGUGCAUGGAACUUCCAGUGGAGCGGUGAAAUGUGUUGAUAUUGGAAGGAACACCGGAGGCGAAAGCGAUGCACUGGGGCUUUUCUGACGCUGAGGCACGAAAGCCAGGGUAGCGAACGGGAUUAGAUACC
Molecule: ribosomal RNA, 440 nt
Filed under: uncultured bacterium
Lineage: Bacteria
Description: bacterial SSU rRNA
Rfam family: Bacterial small subunit ribosomal RNA
Source: RNAcentral